Molecule: ribosomal RNA, 477 nt
Filed under: uncultured organism
Description: partial 16S ribosomal RNA
Rfam family: Bacterial small subunit ribosomal RNA
Source: RNAcentral
UACACUCCUGCGGGAGGCAGCAGUAGGGAAUCUUCCACAAUGGGUGCAAACCUGAUGGAGCAAUGCCGCGUGAGUGAAGAAGGUCUUCGGAUCGUAAAGCUCUGUUGUUAGAGAAGAACACGUGCUAGGUAACUACUAGCGCCUUGACGGUAUCUAACCAGAAAGUCACGGCUAACUACGUGCCAGCAGCCGCGGUAAUACGUAGGUGACAAGCGUUGUCCGGAUUUAUUGGGCGUAAAGGGAGCGCAGGCGGUCUGUUUAGUCUAAUGUGAAAGCCCACGGCUUAACCGUGGAACGGCAUUGGAAACUGACAGACUUGAAUGUAGAAGAGGAAAAUGGAAUUCCAAGUGUAGCGGUGGAAUGCGUAGAUAUUUGGAGGAACACCAGUGGCGAAGGCGAUUUUCUGGUCUAACAUUGACGCUGAGGCUCGAAAGCGUGGGGAGCGAACAGGAUUAGAUACCCCGGUAGUCCCAUGAU